RNAcentral lists this transfer RNA (63 nucleotides) under Achalinus rufescens (Boulenger's odd-scaled snake). Its description in RNAcentral is "tRNA-His". Lineage: Eukaryota; Metazoa; Chordata; Lepidosauria; Squamata; Xenodermidae. The record is from RNAcentral.
GUGCAUGUAAUUUAAAAAAUAUUAAGCUGUGACCUUAAAAAUAGAGUAAUCCUCUCAUGCACC